CGGUAUUUGUCCUUCGGGACGGAGAGAGCGGCCUACGGGUGCGGAACACGUGUGCAACCUGCCUUUAUCUGGGGGAUAGCCUUUCGAAAGGAAGAUUAAUACCCCAUAACAUAUGAGACGGCAUCGUAUUAUAAUGAAAACUCCGGUGGAUAGAGAUGGGCACGCGCAAGAUUAGAUAGUUGGUGAGGUAACGGCACACCAAGUCAGUGAUCUUUAGGGGGCCUGAGAGGGUGAUCCCCCACACUGGUACUGAGACACGGACCAGACUCCUACGGGAGACAGCAGUGAGGAAUAUUGGACAAUGGGUGAGAGCCUGACCCAGCCAUCCCGCGUGAAGGACUAAGGCCCUAUGGGAUGUAAACUUCUUUUAUACUGGGAUAAACCUACCUACGUGUAAGUAGCUGA
RNAcentral lists this ribosomal RNA (405 nucleotides) under uncultured bacterium. Its description in RNAcentral is "bacterial SSU rRNA". It matches the Rfam family "Bacterial small subunit ribosomal RNA", at positions 67 to 472 of the family's 1533-position model. The record is from RNAcentral.